Molecule: small nuclear RNA, 103 nt
Organism: Gracilinanus agilis (Agile Gracile Mouse Opossum)
Lineage: Eukaryota; Metazoa; Chordata; Mammalia; Didelphimorphia; Didelphidae
Source: RefSeq, a predicted model, not a curated record
UCACUCUGGCAAUGCACACACUAAAACUGGAAUGUUUCAGGGAAGAUUAGCAUGGGCCCUGCUCGAGGAGGAUAUAUAAAUUCAUGAAGCAUUCCACAUUUAA